Molecule: transfer RNA, 76 nt
Filed under: Verrucomicrobiia bacterium
Lineage: Bacteria; Pseudomonadati; Verrucomicrobiota; Verrucomicrobiia
Description: tRNA-Lys
Rfam family: tRNA
About the family: Transfer RNA (tRNA) molecules are approximately 80 nucleotides in length. Their secondary structure includes four short double-helical elements and three loops (D, anti-codon, and T loops).
Source: RNAcentral
GGGUUGGUAGCUCAGCUGGUAGAGCAGCGCCCUUUUAAGGCGUUGGUCCUGGGUUCGAGUCCCAGCCAACCCACCA